Molecule: long non-coding RNA, 1097 nt
Organism: Mauremys reevesii (Reeves's turtle)
Lineage: Eukaryota; Metazoa; Chordata; Testudines; Geoemydidae
Exons: 4
Source: RefSeq, a predicted model, not a curated record
CUCGACCCACCCUCCAGCUCCAUGCUGGGCCAGUCAGGGAGGGGGCCCCAGGUGGGUCCUCAAUUUUGCAUUCCUGGAGGUUUCAUCACAUGACAGGCUUUAAUUGAAGAUUAAUUUUUAAUUGCUGGAGGCUCCAGGACAAUCCUGGAGGGUUGGCAAGCCUACCAGAAGCAGGUGCUGUUUGCCCUGGUCUGGGAGCACCAGAGCCCCCCCUGCCUAUAAACACAUGCAACUGGGGCAAGCAGCUACCUAGCCCUGGGUCAGGCCGGAGCUAGGCCUCCCUACCGCUCCUGCAGUUGCAACUGGUAGAGAAGUGCCCAGAGUGAGGUCAGGCUUGGCUGGGUGCAGUCCAUUGCACAGCCACAGUGAACUCCAGACCUUACCUGUCUUGUCAUCAGUCAAAGGGGAAGUAGGCGAAAAGCUGCUGUAAGGAGGUGUCCUUCAACCAGACAAAAACAAGUCACUUUUCAGAAGAGAACCUCUCUCAAGGAUUGCUUCCAAAAACCACUAUUGUUAAAACAAAGCAGAAAAUGCGAGUCCAUCAGAAGCUUAGAAACUCGUCAACCAGUCAAGAAUGUGUAACACAACCAGUGGUGCCAUAAAUGGACAGGGAGAUAACUUGUUUUGAAAAAAAAAAGUGCCAUCAACCCAAAUAAGUAAAAUGGCUACACAAGCACCACCUCUAUUUGUAGUGUCAUAAUCUAAAAAGCCUUAAAAUAUACAACAGCUCCAAAGGCCAGGUUAUACUACAAGUCAGACACUACUAGUUCUGGUAUUUCAAUAACCUGAAAGGUUGACAAGUUUUAGUGAAUGGGUUUUCCCAGAGUUACUGAAGCUUUUGUUCAAUGGAAGACUAAAGCAGGAGCUUUGGUGAGAAAGAGAAAUGAAGAACGUUUCCAUCCAAGUAUUCUCCCAAAGCCAAUCACCUCCUGUACUAGGAUAACCACCCGCUAGAGAUUGAUCACCAUCUAACCACAAGAACAAAAUAGGGAGUUCACAAACAAAACAGUGGCAGAUGCGCAGGUUGUUUUAGAAGUUGAAAUGGCUUGUUACUAAUAUUAUCUUGAGACCUUUUAUUAUGGAUUCGUAUUAAAAGC